GUACACUCCUGCGGGAGGCAGCAGUGGGGAAUUUUGGACAAUGGGCGAAAGCCUGAUCCAGCAAUGCCGCGUGAGUGAAGAAGGCCUUCGGGUUGUAAAGCUCUUUUGUCAGGGAAGAAACGGUGAGAGCUAAUAUCUUUUGCUAAUGACGGUACCUGAAGAAUAAGCACCGGCUAACUACGUGCCAGCAGCCGCGGUAAUACGUAGGGUGCAAGCGUUAAUCGGAAUUACUGGGCGUAAAGCGUGCGCAGGCGGUUUUGUAAGUCUGAUGUGAAAUCCCCGGGCUCAACCUGGGAAUUGCAUUGGAGACUGCAAGGCUAGAAUCUGGCAGAGGGGGGUAGAAUUCCACGUGUAGCAGUGAAAUGCGUAGAUAUGUGGAGGAACACCGAUGGCGAAGGCAGCCCCCUGGGUCAAGAUUGACGCUCAUGCACGAAAGCGUGGGGAGCAAACAGGAUUAGAUACCCUGGUAGUCCCAUGA
This 478-nucleotide ribosomal RNA is filed under the name uncultured organism. RNAcentral's name for it is "partial 16S ribosomal RNA". It matches the Rfam family "Bacterial small subunit ribosomal RNA", at positions 331 to 800 of the family's 1533-position model. The record is from RNAcentral.